Molecule: long non-coding RNA, 1850 nt
Organism: Populus nigra (black poplar)
Lineage: Eukaryota; Viridiplantae; Streptophyta; Magnoliopsida; Malpighiales; Salicaceae
Exons: 3
Source: RefSeq, a predicted model, not a curated record
UGUGGAUUCAAGCGAGAUUGAUUUAUCUGAGAUUCAAGAAGCAAAUCAUGAUGAUGGUGAUGGUGGAAAUGAUGCACUGGUCAUGCGCCUAAGACAGCAUGAAGAAGCUGUGAUGCGAGAUGGGACAGGGAGAGUUGAUAAGAUGGUAUGUAGAACAACAGAAUCAGAAAAAUAGCUACAGUUCUGUGGAGGAAGCAAAGAAUGAAGCUUCAAAAAUCAAAGCUAUUAUAGAGGCAAAACUACAGCAAUAUCUGAGUCUUGCCAAUAUGUUUAAUUAUUCUAUUUUAGCAAUAUAUUUUCUGGGACUAUUGGACAUGACAAAUGUUGUACUGCAGAGUUUGAUUCGGAAGGAAGGCUAUUUGAUUGUGGUAGAUUAUGACAAUUAUGUGGUAGAAUGAUGUGUGCUUUGACAACUCGUUAACCACGAUACUCAUUUAUGGUUUACGAGGUCGCACGCAUUUAAAUUCAACUUGACCAUAUAUAUGCUGCAAGUUCGGCUCUUCUAUCGCCACUAUUUUUUAUAUGUAAAAAAGGACGAGUUCAGUUUAGGACAGCUGAAAGCUUGGCAUUGGAAUCAGACCAUUGUUUUAAUUGAAAAUGCAUUUGGACAUUUAAUGGUAGCACAGAGCUGGAAUGCACGUUACCGGACUCAGCAUGACAACUGCUGAAAGCGCCCAACCCAGAAGAGAUGCUAGUACGGAUUAAUAACUCAAUUCUGCAGCGAAGAGUUGCAGAUGUCAGUGACUCUUGCACAUUCUCAAUCUGCGAGACCGGGUUGCCCGGUUAUCCUUUGCCUCGUGGGUAUGUUUAAUAUUAUGUUUUGAAUUUGUUUUUGAAAAAAAUUAUUAUUAUUAUUAUUUAUUUAUUUUAAAUUAAUAUAUUUUUAAUAUUUUUAAAUUAUUUUGAUAUGUUGAUGUAAAAAAUGAUUUUUUAAAAAAAUUAGUAUUUUAAUGUGUUAAUGAAAAACACUUUAAAAAACAACCACAUUCAACUUUCUUUACUUUUCAAUUUAUUUUUUAACUUUAUUUUUAUGAGAUUUUGUUGGUGUUUAAGCUUUUGCUUCCAUGUACUUUUUUUUAAAAGUUUUUGGUUUUAAAAGAUAUUAAAUUAAUAUUUUUAGUGUUUUUUUAAAGUUUUAAUAUUAAAAAUAAAAAAAUUCUAAAAAAAAUUAGUUUAAUAUAUUUUUCAUAUAAAAGAUCAUUUUAAAAAAUAUAAUCCAUCACAAUUUCAAUCCCCACCAGACAGCUUCCUGGCUAUAAAACGAACAUGUUGCAAAGAGAUAUGGCUGAUAGGAAAUCAGUGACUGCAGUUAUUUUCACUAACCCAUCAUUUUCAAAUUCCUAUCCUUCUAAGAAUGUGCAGCGCAAUCUAUCGUACUAGCUUGGAAGCUACAACAAUAAUUGUUUUGGUACUUAUAGGCUCUCGAUUUUCGUCGUUGCUGUCUUGCACUUUAAAAUAACGCCACCUACCCUCACUUCUCUGUCUUGCUUUGAUCAAGAGUGUACAGGUUCCCCCAUGUCAUUUUCUGCUUGGGGCCAUCACAGAUUAAGAUUAUGAAAUAAGUGUCUGCCUGUCAGGGAAGAUAGAGUCGGUGUCGGGUGGCAGCUCGCCUGUCAUUAUGCUGUGAUAGAAAUGAGUCGACAAGGUGAUAAUGUGAGUUCAAUCCACCUUGCUGAUGCGUUGAAAAGAUUUUCUCAUAACGCAGAGUCUGGUUCCUGGUGGUCUAGAUUAUCGUUGUCUUUAUAGGUUCUGAAUUUUUGCUGGCCCCAAACCAAUCAUGAGUAAAAUAAGAUGCAAAGUGACUCUUUGUUCUUUGUUCUUUUAUUAUUUAUUUUCUGAGUUUUCAUCCU